This 250-nucleotide ribosomal RNA is filed under the name uncultured bacterium. RNAcentral's name for it is "partial 16S ribosomal RNA". It matches the Rfam family "Bacterial small subunit ribosomal RNA", at positions 336 to 603 of the family's 1533-position model. The record is from RNAcentral.
CUCCUACGGGGGGCAGCAGUGGGGAAUAUUGAACAAUGGGCGAAAGCCUGAUGCAGCGACGCCGCGUGAGUGAAGAAGUAUUUCGGUAUGUAAAGCUCUAUCAGCAGGGAAGAAAAUGACGGUACCUGACUAAGAAGCCCCGGCUAACUACGUGCCAGCAGCCGCGGUAAUACGUAGGGGGCAAGCGUUAUCCGGAUUUACUGGGUGUAAAGGGAGCGUAGACGGCGAAGCAAGUCUGAAGUGAAGACCC